GAUGAACGCUAGCGGCAGGCCUAAUACAUGCAAGUCGGACGGGAUCUAUCGGAGAGCUUGCUCGAAGAUAGUGAGAGUGGCGCACGGGUGCGUAACGCGUGAGCAACCUACCCAUAUCAGGGGGAUAGCCCGGAGAAAUCCGGAUUAAGACCGCAAAACACUGUGAAUUGGCAUCAAUUUACAGUUAAAUAUUUAUAGGAUAUGGAUGGGCUCGCGUGACAUUAGCUAGUUGGUGAGGUAACGGCUCACCAAGGCGACGAUGUAUAGGGGCUCGGAGAGGAGAAUCCCCCACCCUGGUACUGCGACCAGGACCAGACGCCUACGGGAGACAGCAGUAAGGAAUAUUGGUCAAUGGGCGGAAGCCUGAACCAGCCAUGCCGCGUGCAGGACGACUGCCCUAUGGGUUGUAAACUGCUUUUGUCGAGGAAUAAACCUAUCUACGAGUAGAUAGCUGAACGUACUCGAAGAAUAAGGAUCGGCUAACUCCGCGCCAGCCGCCGCAGUAA
RNAcentral lists this ribosomal RNA (506 nucleotides) under uncultured bacterium. Its description in RNAcentral is "partial 16S ribosomal RNA". It matches the Rfam family "Bacterial small subunit ribosomal RNA", at positions 28 to 523 of the family's 1533-position model. The record is from RNAcentral.